AGAGUUUGACUCUGGCUCAGGAUGAACGCUGGCGGCGUGCCUAACACAUGCAAGUCGAACGGAUCCAUAUUGAAACCUAGUGAUGUAUGGAUUAGUGGCGGACGGGUGAGUAACGCGUGGAUAACCUGCCGUAUACAGGGGGAUAACACUUAGAAAUAGGUGCUAAUACCGCAUAAGCGCACGGUUCCGCAUGGAACAGUGUGAAAAACUCCGGUGGUAUACGAUGGAUCCGCGUCUGAUUAGCCAGUUGGCGGGGUAACGGCCCACCAAAGCGACGACCAGUAGCCGGCCUGAGAAGGUGAACGGCCACAUUGGGACUGAGACACGGCCCAAACUCCUACGGGAGGCAGCAGUGGGGAAUAUUGCACAAUGGGGGAAACCCUGAUGCAGCGACGCCGCGUGAGUGAAGAAGUAUCUCGGUACGUAAAGCUCUAUCAGCAGGGAAGAAAAUGACGGUACCUGAUUAAGAAGCCCCGGCUAACUACGUGCCAGCAGCCGCGGUAAUACGUAGGGGGCAAGCGUUAUCCGGAUUUACUGGGUGUAAAGGGAGCGUAGACGGCAGCGCAAGUCUGGAGUGAAAUGCCGGGGCCCAACCCCGGAACUGCUUUGGAAACUGUGCAGCUCGAGUGCAGGAGAGGUAAGCGGAAUUCCUAGUGUAGCGGUGAAAUGCGUAGAUAUUAGGAGGAACACCAGUGGCGAAGGCGGCUUACUGGACUGUAACUGACGUUGAGGCUCGAAAGCGUGGGGAGCAAACAGGAUUAGAUACCCUGGUAGUCCACGCCGUAAACGAUGAUUACUAGGUGUCGGGGGGGCCAAGGCCCUCCGGGUGCCGGCGCAAA
Molecule: ribosomal RNA, 839 nt
Filed under: uncultured bacterium
Lineage: Bacteria
Description: bacterial SSU rRNA
Rfam family: Bacterial small subunit ribosomal RNA
Source: RNAcentral